CAGGACGAACGCUGGCGGCGUGCCUAAUACAUGCAAGUCGAGCGGACAGAUGGGAGCUUGCUCCCUGAUGUUAGCGGCGGACGGGUGAGUAACACGUGGGUAACCUGCCUGUAAGACUGGGAUAACUCCGGGAAACCGGGGCUAAUACCGGAUGGUUGUUUGAACCGCAUGGUUCAAACAUAAAAGGUGGCUUCGGCUACCACUUACAGAUGGACCCGCGGCGCAUUAGCUAGUUGGUGAGGUAACGGCUCACCAAGGCGACGAUGCGUAGCCGACCUGAGAGGGUGAUCGGCCACACUGGGACUGAGACACGGCCCAGACUCCUACGGGAGGCAGCAGUAGGGAAUCUUCCGCAAUGGACGAAAGUCUGACGGAGCAACGCCGCGUGAGUGAUGAAGGUUUUCGGAUCGUAAAGCUCUGUUGUUAGGGAAGAACAAGUACCGUUCGAAUAGGGCGGUACCUUGACGGUACCUAACCAGAAAGCCACGGCUAACUACGUGCCAGCAGCCGCGGUAAUACGUAGGUGGCAAGCGUUGUCCGGAAUUAUUGGGCGUAAAGGGCUCGCAGGCGGUUUCUUAAGUCUGAUGUGAAAGCCCCCGGCUCAACCGGGGAGGGUCAUUGGAAACUGGGGAACUUGAGUGCAGAAGAGGAGAGUGGAAUUCCACGUGUAGCGGUGAAAUGCGUAGAGAUGUGGAGGAACACCAGUGGCGAAGGCGACUCUCUGGUCUGUAACUGACGCUGAGGAGCGGAAGCGUGGGGAGCGAACAGGAUUAGAUACCCUGGUAGUCCACGCCGUAAACGAUGAGUGCUAAGUGUUAGGGGGUUUCCGCCCCUUAGUGCUGCAGCUAACGCAUUAAGCACUCCGCCUGGGGAGUACGGUCGCAAGACUGAAACUCAAAGGAAUUGACGGGGGCCCGCACAAGCGGUGGAGCAUGUGGUUUAAUUCGAAGCAACGCGAAGAACCUUACCAGGUCUUGACAUCCUCUGACAAUCCUAGAGAUAGGACGUCCCCUUCGGGGGCAGAGUGACAGGUGGUGCAUGGUUGUCGUCAGCUCGUGUCGUGAGAUGUUGGGUUAAGUCCCGCAACGAGCGCAACCCUUGAUCUUAGUUGCCAGCAUUCAGUUGGGCACUCUAAGGUGACUGCCGGUGACAAACCGGAGGAAGGUGGGGAUGACGUCAAAUCAUCAUGCCCCUUAUGACCUGGGCUACACACGUGCUACAAUGGACAGAACAAAGGGCAGCGAAACCGCGAGGUUAAGCCAAUCCCACAAAUCUGUUCUCAGUUCGGAUCGCAGUCUGCAACUCGACUGCGUGAAGCUGGAAUCGCUAGUAAUCGCGGAUCAGCAUGCCGCGGUGAAUACGUUCAAAG
RNAcentral lists this ribosomal RNA (1369 nucleotides) under metagenome. RNAcentral describes it as "bacterial SSU rRNA". It matches the Rfam family "Bacterial small subunit ribosomal RNA", at positions 25 to 1377 of the family's 1533-position model. The record is from RNAcentral.